Molecule: ribosomal RNA, 200 nt
Filed under: uncultured bacterium
Lineage: Bacteria
Description: partial 16S ribosomal RNA
Rfam family: Bacterial small subunit ribosomal RNA
Source: RNAcentral
ACGCUCGACACCUACGGGAGGCAGCAGUGGGGAAUAUUGCACAAUGGGGGAAACCCUGAUGCAGCGACGCCGCGUGACUGAAGAAGUAUUUCGGUAUGUAAAGGUCUAUCAGCAAGGAAGAAGAAAGACGGUACUUGACUAAGAAGCCCCGGCUAACUACGUGCUAGCAGCCGCGGUAAUCUGGAGCGGGCUGGCAAGGC